This 253-nucleotide ribosomal RNA is filed under the name uncultured bacterium. RNAcentral describes it as "partial 16S ribosomal RNA". It matches the Rfam family "Bacterial small subunit ribosomal RNA", at positions 524 to 776 of the family's 1533-position model. The record is from RNAcentral.
UACGUAGGGUCCGAGCGUUGUCCGGAAUUAUUGGGCGUAAAGGGCUCGUAGGCGGUUCGCCGCGUCGGGAGUGAAAACUCGGGGCUUAACCCCGAGCCUGCUUCCGAUACGGGCAGACUAGAGGUAGGCAGGGGAGAGCGGAACUCCUGGUGUAGCGGUGGAAUGCGCAGAUAUCAGGAAGAACACCGGUGGCGAAGGCGGCUCUCUGGGCCUUACCUGACGCUGAGGAGCGAAAGCGUGGGUAGCGAACAGG